RNAcentral lists this ribosomal RNA (554 nucleotides) under uncultured archaeon. RNAcentral describes it as "bacterial SSU rRNA". It matches the Rfam family "Archaeal small subunit ribosomal RNA", at positions 325 to 879 of the family's 1478-position model. The record is from RNAcentral.
ACGGGGAGCAGCAGGCGCGAGAACUCUACAAUGCAGGCAACUGCGAUAGGGGAACAUCGAGUGAUACUCAUCUUGGGUGUCUGUCCUCCCGUCUAAAAAACGGGAGUUAGCAAGGGCCGGGCAAGACCGGUGCCAGCCGCCGCGGUAAUACCGGCGGCUCGAGUGGUGGCCGAUAUUAUUGAGUCUAAAGGGUCCGUAGCCGGCUUUGCAAGUCUUUUGGGAAAUCCAGCGGCUUAACCGUUGGUCGUCCGGGAGAUACUACAUUGCCUGGGACUGGGAGAGGUAGGAGGUACUCAGGGGGUAGGAGUGAAAUCCUGUAAUCCUUUGGGGACCACCGGUGGCGAAGGCGUCCUACCAGAACAGGUCCGACGGUGAGGGACGAAAGCUAGGGGCACGAACCGGAUUAGAUACCCGGGUAGUCCUAGCCGUAAACGACGCUCGCUAGGUGUCACAACGAUCGUGAAUUGUUGUGGUGCCGUAGGGAAGCCGUGAAGCGAGCCACUUGGGAAGUACGACCGCAAGGUUGAAACUUAAAGGAAUUGGCGGGGGAGCAC